ACCUUUUGCAUAAUGAAUUAACUAGAAAUAACUUUGCAAAGAGAACCAAAGCUAAGGCCCCCGAAACCAGACGAGCUACCUAAGAACAGCUAAAAGAGCACACCCAGAGUAAAAAAAUUAACAGCCCAAUAUCUACAAUCAACCAACAAGCCAUUAUUACCCUCACUGUUAACCCAACACAGGCAUGCCCACAAGGAAAGGUUAAAAAAAGUAAAAGGAACUCGGCAAAUCUUACCCCGCCUGUUUACCAAAAACAUCACCUCUAGCAUUAUCAGUAUUAGAGGCACCGCCUGCCCGGUGACAUAUGUUUAACGGCCGCGGUACCCUAACCGUGCAAAGGUAGCAUAAUCACUUGUUCCUUAAAUAGGGACUUGUAUGAAUGGCUCCACGAGGGUUCAGCUGUCUCUUACUUUCAACCAGUGAAAUUGACCUACCCGUGAAGAGGCGGGCAUAACAUAGCAAGACUAU
This 468-nucleotide long non-coding RNA is filed under the name Homo sapiens (human). RNAcentral describes it as "non-protein coding lnc-MTRNR2L12-3:6". It matches the Rfam family "Bacterial large subunit ribosomal RNA", at positions 1456 to 2084 of the family's 2925-position model. Lineage: Eukaryota; Metazoa; Chordata; Mammalia; Primates; Hominidae. The record is from RNAcentral.